UUUCCGUAGGUGAACCUGCGGAAGGAUCAUUAUUGAAUAAACCUGAUGUGGUUGAAGCUGGCUCUCUCGGGAGCAUGUGCACGCCCGUCGUCUUUAUAUCUCCACCUGUGCACUUUUUGUAGACCUUGAUAUAACACUUUCCGAGGAAACUCGGUCGGGAAGAAUGCCGUGCGUCAAUGCCGCCUUUCCUUGAAUGUCCUGGUCUAUGUUUUCACAAUACCCAAAAGAAUGUAACAGAAUGUAUCCUUGGGCCUUUCGCCUAUAAACUAAAUACAACUUUCAGCAACGGAUCUCUUGGCUCUC
Molecule: unclassified non-coding RNA, 303 nt
Filed under: plant metagenome
Description: partial contains small subunit ribosomal RNA, internal transcribed spacer 1, and 5.8S ribosomal RNA
Source: RNAcentral